UUAAGUUCAGCGGGUAGUCCUACCUGAUUUGAGGUCAAGAUUGUCAAAAGAGGUUUGUUUAGAAAGCAGCAUUCCAGCAGAUGUCUAGGAUGUAGAUAGUUAUCACACCUGUAGACGGUUCCACUCAAGGUACCACUAAUUAAUUUCAGGGAAGCAGACUACAACAAAGCCCACACAACCCCCCAAGUCCAAGCCACACC
Molecule: unclassified non-coding RNA, 200 nt
Filed under: Inocybe sp.
Lineage: Eukaryota; Fungi; Basidiomycota; Agaricomycetes; Agaricales; Inocybaceae
Description: partial internal transcribed spacer 2
Source: RNAcentral